AGAACGAACGUUGGCGGCGUGGAUUAGGCAUGCAAGUCGAACGAAUCCCAUUUGGGUAACUGGAUGGGGGAAGUGGCGAAAGGGGCAGUAAGGCAUGGAUAACCUACCCUGGAGUUGGGCAUAGCCAUUCUAACGAAUGGGUAAUUCCCAAUAGCUCAGCGAGGAGACAUCUCUUUGCUGGUAAAGAGUUUCGCUCCGGGAGGGGUCCAUGUGCUAUUAGCUAGUUGGCGGGGUAACGGCCCACCAAGGCUAAGAUGGCUAGCGGGUGUGAGAGCACGACCCGCGCCACUGGCACUGAGACACUGGCCAGACACCUACGGGUGGCUGCAGUCGAGGAUCUUCGUCAAUGGGCGAAAGCCUGAACGAGCGACGCCGCGUGCGCGAUGAAGGCCUUCGGGUUGUAAAGCGCGAAAGUGGGGACGAAAGCCGAAAGGUUUGACUGAUCCACAGUAAGCUCGGGCUAAGUUCGUGCCAGCAGCCGC
RNAcentral lists this ribosomal RNA (482 nucleotides) under uncultured bacterium. RNAcentral's name for it is "SSU rRNA". It matches the Rfam family "Bacterial small subunit ribosomal RNA", at positions 26 to 518 of the family's 1533-position model. The record is from RNAcentral.